GAUGAACGCUGGCGGCAGGCUUAACACAUGCAAGUCGAGCGGGCAUAGCAAUAUGUCAGCGGCAGACGGGUGAGUAACGCGUGGGAACGUACCUUUUGGUUCGGAACAACACAGGGAAACUUGUGCUAAUACCGGAUAAGCCCUUACGGGGAAAGAUUUAUCGCCGAAAGAUCGGCCCGCGUCUGAUUAGCUAGUUGGUGAGGUAAUGGCUCACCAAGGCGACGAUCAGUAGCUGGUCUGAGAGGAUGAUCAGCCACAUUGGGACUGAGACACGGCCCAAACUCCUACGGGAGGCAGCAGUGGGGAAUAUCGGACAAUGGGCGCAAGCCUGAUCCAGCCAUGCCGCGUGAGUGAUGAAGGCCCUAGGGUUGUAAAGCUCUUUUGUGCGGGAAGAUAAUGACGGUACCGCAAGAAUAAGCCCCGGCUAACUUCGUGCCAGCCGCCGCGGUAA
This 451-nucleotide ribosomal RNA is filed under the name uncultured bacterium. RNAcentral's name for it is "partial 16S ribosomal RNA". It matches the Rfam family "Bacterial small subunit ribosomal RNA", at positions 28 to 523 of the family's 1533-position model. The record is from RNAcentral.